CAGUCUUUGAGAUUGGAAGUGCGAGGUCAUGAACGCCCUUUGUUAGCACUGCUGGUGGAAAAAAGCAGCAGAAUGGAAACAAGUCCAAGGCCACUUCUUGCAGUGGUCCGAGAAGGGUUUUCAUUUGCAACAAAGCAUAAUCAAGGUACGCCUUGAUUGCACACUCAUUGCGCUUCUCUCUGCCUGCGCACACUGUGUGCAUGGAAAACUGCAUCUGCUUCGUAUUUGUGAUAUUGUCGUAGCUGGAUGACCAUGACUGUGGUUUCGGAACAAGGACAAGCAUUAACAAGGAAUCACAUGAAGGAAUUGAGCCCAGUAUAAACCAGGAUGAAAAUAAAGAGGUGGUUAAUCUCCAAACAACCCAUGUAGACUUGCAGUAUUUAUAACUAAAGGAGGCUCUUGAUUAAAGUAAUAAUAAUAACAACUUAGAGUCAAGGGAAAAAUGGACAAGUAGUUGGAAAAUAAGUGCAAGGAGGGCUAGGAAGCAGACAGGAGCCACGUCCAGCUGAGAAAAUUCUCUGCUAAAAAUAAUUGGAAGCAAGGCAAGCACUUGCAAGAAGUUCCACAUGUGCCUUCUCUGCUGUUACCCAGCAUCUGUUCACAGCCACUUGUGAGAUGAAAAUUGGGCCAGCUGCACCUCUGGUCCAGCCCAGCACAGUCACUGUAGGGAAUGUCUCAGUGUGUCUCAAAGAAUUCCCCUGACCAAUGGGUGGUGAGUGAAGGAAAACUGGGCCAAGGAGGGAAGACUGGGCCGCUGGUUAACUUCCUUAGUACCAGAAGUCUGGCAAAGGAAAGCAGAGAAACUACCAGGUAUUGUCCAGCCUGCCCUCCUCUUUUCAUGCCAUUUACAAUGGUAUUUCCCAUUCUUGGCACUGCAUAGAUUACAUUCAUUGCUGUUCAUUUGCUGCUCUGAGCUUGAACAAUUUAAGUUGUCUGCUGGAAACUGGUUAGAAGAAUCAGUGCUUGUGUGAUUCAAAGGGCUGAAUGCAUCUGGCCAGGCUAAUUUUAGUCUUGUGAUAAACCACAGGAAAAGUCAGCAAGUUUUCACAGAAAAAAAAUAAAAAAAGAAAGAAAAAAAAAGGCA
This 1084-nucleotide long non-coding RNA is filed under the name Coturnix japonica (Japanese quail). Its description in RNAcentral is "lncRNA (ENSCJPG00005005452.1)". The record is from RNAcentral. Lineage: Eukaryota; Metazoa; Chordata; Aves; Galliformes; Phasianidae.